UAAUUGUUUGGUUCUUCUUAACCCACAUUUAGCACAUCUAUUUAGCACCUUUAAUGCCAAAGCACUGGCAGCUGCCAGGUCCAUCGCAGAGACAGAGAAGUAAGAACACAGAAGUGGCUUUGAUCCUGCAAAAUUCUGAAUACUCUGGCCUGAUCCAGUAAAGUAUUUAAGCCUAUGCUUGAAGUUAAGUAUGUGUGUAGUCCUAUUAAAGUCAAUAAAACAUUGAGCAUGUGUUGAAGUGUUUUGCUAGAUCGGGCCAGAGUGCUUAGUACCUUGCAGGCUCAAGCCCACUUACAGCAUCUGUGAAGGGUGGGGCUUUAAAGUUAGUUUCUUUUACUGCAGUCCAGGAGGUAGGAUCACCUUUGUUUCCUGUAAUUUACAACCUGGUCUGUUACAGUAAGUGCUGCAGCAGUCAGAAGGAAUGGAUUUGAAGCUAGUCACUCUCUUUGCUGCUCUUGCAUUUGUGGUUGUCCAAACAUCUGAGGGGGGAUGAUUCCUGUGACUGGGUUCACAAGUCCAGAGCAAAUAUUUUCAAAGUUACAAAGCAAAAUCAACUCUCUUUCCGGUAUCCUUUAACUGUUGCACGGAAGUAUCGCACCUUGUGCCCAGAAGACU
Chelonia mydas (Green sea turtle) is the source of this 615-nucleotide RNA transcript. RefSeq lists it as uncharacterized. The record is from RefSeq and is a predicted model, not a curated record. The transcript has 3 exons. Lineage: Eukaryota; Metazoa; Chordata; Testudines; Cheloniidae.